Molecule: ribosomal RNA, 467 nt
Filed under: uncultured bacterium
Lineage: Bacteria
Description: partial 16S ribosomal RNA
Rfam family: Bacterial small subunit ribosomal RNA
Source: RNAcentral
GACGAACGCUGGCGGCGUGCUUAACACAUGCAAGUCGAACGGAAAGGCCCUGCUUUUCUGGGGUGCUCGAGUGGCGAACGGGUGAGUAACACGUGAGUAACCUGCCCUUGACUUUGGGAUAACUUCAGGAAACUGGGUCUAAUACCGGAUAGGAGCUCCUGCUGCAUGGUGUGGGUUGGAAAGUUUCGGCGGUUGGGGAUGGGCUCGCGGCUUAUCAGCUUGUUGGUGGGGUAGUGGCUUACCAAGGCGUUGACGGGUAGCCGGCCUGAGAGGGUGCCCGGCCACAUUGGGACUGAGGUACGGCCCAGACUCCUACGGGAGGCAACAGUGGGGAAUAUUGCACAAUGGGCGGAAGCCUGAUGCAGCAACGCCGCGUGGGGGAGGACGGCCUUCGGGUUGUAAACUCCUUUCGCUUGGGACGAAGCGCAAGUGACGGUACUGGGAGAAGAAGCACCGGCUAACUACGU